Molecule: ribosomal RNA, 268 nt
Filed under: uncultured Eubacteriales bacterium
Lineage: Bacteria; Bacillati; Bacillota; Clostridia; Eubacteriales
Description: uncultured Clostridiales bacterium partial 16S ribosomal RNA
Rfam family: Bacterial small subunit ribosomal RNA
Source: RNAcentral
UGUGCCAGCCGCCGCGGUAAUACGUAAGGUCCGAGCGUUGUCCGGAAUCAUUGGGCGUAAAGGGUACGUAGGCGGGUAAGCAAGUUAGAAGUGAAUCUAUAGCUCAACUAUAGUAAGCUUUUAAACUGUUUAUCUUGAGGUAUGGAAGGGAAAGUGGAAUUCCUAGUGUAGCGGUGAAAUGCGCAGAUAUUAGGAGGAAUAUCCGGUGGCGAAGGCGACUUUCUGGCCAUAACCUGACGCUGAGGUACGAAAGCGUGGGUAGCAAACA